GGAAGAAGCGAAAGUGACGGUACCUGCAGAAAAAGCGCCGGCUAACUACGUGCCAGCAGCCGCGGUAAUACGUAGGGCGCAAGCGUUAUCCGGAAUUAUUGGGCGUAAAGAGCUCGUAGGCGGUUUGUCGCGUCUGCUGUGAAAUCCCGAGGCUCAACCUCGGGCCUGCAGUGGGUACGGGCAGACUAGAGUGCGGUAGGGGAGAUUGGAAUUCCUGGUGUAGCGGUGGAAUGCGCAGAUAUCAGGAGGAACACCGAUGGCGAAGGCAGAUCUCUGGGCCGUAACUGACGCUGAGGAGCGAAAGGGUGGGGAGCAAACAGGCUUAGAUACCCUGGUAGUCCACCCCGUAAACGUUGGGAACUAGUUGUGGGGUCCAUUCCACGGAUUCCGUGACGCAGCUAACGCAUUAAGUUCCCCGCCUGGGGAGUGCGGCCGCAAGGCUAAAACUCAAAGGAAUUGACGGGGACCCGCACAAGCGGCGGAGCAUGCGGAUUAAUUCGAUGCAACGCGAAGAACCUUACCAAGGCUUGACAUAUACGAGAACGGGCCAGAAAUGGUCAACUCUUUGGACACUCGUAAACAGGUGGUGCAUGGUUGUCGUCAGCUCGUGUCGUGAGAUGUUGGGUUAAGUCCCGCAACGAGCGCAACCCUCGUUCUAUGUUGCCAGCACGUAAUGGUGGGAACUCAUGGGAUACUGCCGGGGUCAACUCGGAGGAAGGUGGGGAUGACGUCAAAUCAUCAUGCCCCUUAUGUCUUGGGCUUCACGCAUGCUACAAUGGCCGGUACAAAGGGCUGCAAUACCGUGAGGUGGAGCGAAUCCCAAAAAGCCGGUCCCAGUUCGGAUUGAGGUCUGCAACUCGACCUCAUGAAGUCGGAGUCGCUAGUAAUCGCAGAUCAGCAACGCUGCGGUGAAUACGUUCCCGGGUCUUGUACACACCGCCCGUCAAGUCAUGAAAGUCGGUAACACCUGAAGCCGG
This 977-nucleotide ribosomal RNA is filed under the name Microbacterium sp. Its description in RNAcentral is "bacterial SSU rRNA". It matches the Rfam family "Bacterial small subunit ribosomal RNA", at positions 443 to 1430 of the family's 1533-position model. The record is from RNAcentral. Lineage: Bacteria; Bacillati; Actinomycetota; Actinomycetes; Micrococcales; Microbacteriaceae.